GCCGGAGUGGCGAAAUGGCAGCCGCAGGGGACUUAAAAUCCCCCGACUCUCACGGGUCAUGCUGGUUCGAGUCCAGCCUCCGGCACCA
RNAcentral lists this transfer RNA (88 nucleotides) under Thermoanaerobaculia bacterium. Its description in RNAcentral is "tRNA-Leu". It matches the Rfam family "tRNA". Rfam says of the family: Transfer RNA (tRNA) molecules are approximately 80 nucleotides in length. Their secondary structure includes four short double-helical elements and three loops (D, anti-codon, and T loops). Lineage: Bacteria; Pseudomonadati; Acidobacteriota; Thermoanaerobaculia. The record is from RNAcentral.